CCGUGGUUCACGAGCUGCUGCGAGUACCACGAGAGGAAGAAGUCGGCAUAUGGCGUCUCCCACGAGCCGCCGUGGUCUCUGAAGAAGUUGGCGGAAUCCGGUGAUUGGUUGUAUCCGGGUGCGUCGUGGGGGCCCGAGAGGCCCCACAACGGCUGGCCCGAUUGCUCAGCGUGCUGUUUUAGUUGCGCGAGCAUGUACUUGUCGUAGCAUUGGAAUUCACCGACGCCGGUGAACUGGUGGCCUCCGGUCGCUGGCGGGAACGACGGGUACCGGAGCUCGCCGUUGGGCCCGAGGCUGACAGUAAUGCCCUGAAGAUCAAUGGAUACGAACAUAUGAGAACCAAGAACGACCCAUUUCAGAUGAAACACACUGUUAUUCUACAACAAAUAGCAUUUCGGAAGCAUGAAUAUCUUAUUUGAUAUAUUUCUUUUCUAUUUACUCGAAGACUUUCUCAAAUACAAUUUUACCGUGUUUAUAUAUACGAUCGUUUAAUCAUCUUCUCUAAAACAUGCUUAAUCACUAUAGAAGUUUACGUUCGUAUAGGAACAUGCAAUAAUCGGUAAAUAAAGAAUAUGAUUAGAUAUCUAAACUAACAUAAAAUAUUCAUCCUUCAAGUCAUUUCCACGAAGUCACAUUGUGUUAUAGGUGAAAUGCAUUAUACUAACAAGCAAGGAUUGCCGACAACUUGCAAACAACUAAAGAUAUAAUAUAAUCCUAAAUAGUAAUAGUGAUAUAUGGCUAGGAGAUUGAUUCUAGUCCGUUUCAAGGACUCGUUUCAUUAUUUUUUUUAAAUUAUUUAUUUCAAGUACGAGAAAAAAAUAUACUGAACAACGUAUUCAUGCAUGCAAAUAAACUUCCAGACAUGUCAUGAAACAACAAGGGAGAGCAGCAAUACCGUAAUGGUGGAGCCGAAGAAAUCCGCAAAGGCCGACCGGAAGCUCCGGAAGAAGUCCUCAAAGGCCUCAACCGGCUUCCUGCCGCCGAGGACGGGCAAUUCGUCGACCGCGAACGAGAGGUACUCUUCAUGGUGCCGCCCGUAUCGAUCGGUGAAGAGAAUAUCGGGGUCGGCGGCGGCGGCGCGGGCGACCCACUCGGGGAGGGGGACUCCAGGGCGGCGGUGGGAGCCGUGGAGGCAAAGGGUGGCACGGACNUCUAUUUACUCAUAGAUUUUGUCUACAAUUUUACAGUGUGUGUAUAUAUAUAUAUAUAUAUAAUCAUUUAAUCAUUUUCUCUAAAAUAUGCUUAAUCACUCUAGAAGUUUACAUUUGUAUAGGAACAUGCAAUAAUCGGUAAAUAAAGAAUAUGAUUAGAUAUCUAAACUAACAUAAAAUAUUCAUCCUUCAAGUCAUUUCCACAAAGUGACAUUGUGUUACAGGGGAAAUGCAUUAUACUAACAAGCAAGGAUCGCCGAGAACUUACAAACAACAAAAGAUAUAAUAUAAUCCCAAAUAGCAAUAGUGAUACAUAGCUAGGAGAUUGAUUCUAGUCCGUUUCAAGGACUCGUUUCAUUAUUUUUUAAAAAAUUAUUUAUUUCAAGUACGAGGAAAAGAUAUGCUGAACAACGUAUUCAUGCAUGCAAACAAACUUCCAGACAUGUCAUGAAACAACAAGGGAGAGCAGCAAUACCGUAAUGGUGGAGCCGAAGAAAUCCGCAAAGGCCGACCGGAAGCUUCGGAAGAAGUCCUCAAAGGCCUCCACCGGCCUCCUGCCGCCGAGGACGGGCAAUUCGUCGACCGCGAACGAGAGGUACUCCUCAUGGUGCCGCCCAUAUCGGUCGGUGAAGAGAAUAUCGGGGUCGGCGGCGGCAGCGCGGGCGACCCACUCGGGGAGGGGGACUCCAGGGCGGCGGUGGGAGCCGUGGAGGCAAAGGGUGGCACGGAUGCGGAGUCCGGCAGCGCGGGCCAUCUCGACGAGGGCCGCGUGGCUGGCCCAGUCGAAUUGGGCCGGGUCAGAAUCGGGCUGGGCCGCGGCCCAGAAGAUGGGGAGCUCGACGCCGUAGGCGCCCAGAAGCUUCAGGGCCCGCAGGCCCGCCGCGAUGGCCUUGGCGUGGUUCACGCCGCCGUGGGCCGAUGCCACGUCCAUGGGCAGGCCCACGAAGAGCUCAACCGGACCGGUCAGGGCCUAGAAAGAAAAAACCGAACCAAAAUAAAUAACCAGAAUAGUGAGAGAAACUGUGGAAGAUCGGGAAAUAGGAAACCAAAGUUUAUAGAAAGUGUAUCUUGACUCUUUUUAUUACACAUAGAAAUAAACAUCAUUUAAUCAAAUAUCAUCACAAAAUAAAGAACAAAAUUUUGGGUAAACUUCAAUUUGCUCUUUUGUGGUAUAGCGUAUUUUCACUUUGCCUUAUCGUGAUUCAAAAAACUAUACUUAAUUAUUCUGUGAUUUAGCUUUUAUUUCAACAAAAAACUAUCGUCAAAUAAAACAGUAAAGUAAUUUUUUUUAAAAAAAACCACAAUGACAAUACAGAUCCUCAUAGUGAAAUAAAAAUAAAUAUAUAGAAUUAUUAAGUGUAGCAUUUUUAACUACGGGAUGGUAAAGUAAAAAAAUAUGCUAUAUGACAAAAUAAUUAAUUGUAACUUUUUAAACCAUCAUUUAAAUUUAACAUUCUCAUAUUAUAUAAAUUACCAUUCAACAUUAAAAAGUAUGAUAUCGGUUUGUAAUAUAUCCUAUCUUCUGACCAUAUACUAUCUGCUGCGUUAGAAUCAAACAAUAUUUGCCAAGUUUUUUCCACGGCAAUUUUUAUCAGACGCAUAAAAAAUAAAUAAUAAAAAUUAGAGAUCUGGUUACAAAAAUUUAUAGUUAGGAACUAGGUAAAUAAAUGUAAGGGACCAAUUUUGUAAUUACCUAUACUCCAUUAACAUAAUUGCUAACAAAUUUCUUUUUUCUUUUUUGUCGGUAAAAGUGUAUGGAGACCCCUCAACAUUUCGACCCUAUUUUUAAAUCAUUAAUUUAAUCACUCUAUUAGUUAUUAACCAUUAACUAAUUUAACUUGCUAGAAAAUAAUUAAAACUAUUAAAUUAGUGAAAUUAUCAAUAGAUUUGAUAAAAUUUCUAAAUCAUUUUAACUAAAAUCAUUCAGUUCCAAAAAAAACUUAAAAAUUAAAAAGAGCCUCAAUAAAAUAAUAGUUGAGAGCGCAAUUUCAGAACGUAAUUACAACAAACCGAGAAUUAAAAUUUAUCCGAAAUAUCCAAAUUUAAAGUUAAUUAUUUUUUUAAAAAAAAGAAGGCAUAUAGGGAUUAUUAUUACCGAGUUCGUCUUACGCGGUGACUCGUUCGUCUCCUUCACCAACGCCGCACGGAAACCCCCGGCCCCGACUCGGAUCGCCCGAUUCCUCCGCAUCGCCGCGUCGAACCCGACUCGCCAGAUCCCCGACCCCACUCGGACCGAUUCGCCGAACCCGAGUCUCCUCGCCGGAAACGCCCCGCCCUUCGCCGCCGCCGCCGCCGCCGCCUUUGGCCCCGUCAACACCGCCUCCAUGGAUCGAUCGAUCGAUUCCGAAAAGGAAAUCAAAUGUGAGAGAGAGAGAGAGAGAGAGAGAGAGAGAGAGGGAUUCGAUUAGGGUUUUGAUCGCUCUCGAUCUGGGGAUUUGGAGGGAGGAGAACGAGGGAGUCGAUUAGGGUUUGAUCGAUUUCGAAUUUGGGGAUUUUUUGGUAAUGGAUGAAUGGGGAGGAGGAAGAAGAGGGAGAGUGGGGAUAAAUAGCGGAGGGGCAACAAGGACAAAAAUUGGGUAAAAUUGAAUGGAGACCCCUCAACUAUGGGAAACUUUGAAAAAGGCCCCUCAAACUUUGUUUCAGACCCGCUUAAUUUUUUUUGAUUUUUAAAAAUUAAAUAAUUUUAAUCCAAAAGGGUAAAAUAUCACUAAAUUUAAUCAAUUUAAUUUACAUUUAACAAAUACAACCAAAUUAAAUUAAUGACUAAAUAAUUCAUACGGUCAUUAAAUUUUGUUCAAAAAUAAAAGCAGAGGGGCUUAUCUCAAAAGACAUUAUAGUUAAGGGGAUUUCAUGCAAUUGUUAUCGCCACAUGGCACUCUUAUCCACAGCUAAGAGUGUAAACGAGCCGAAUACGAGCGAGCUGGGUCGUAAACGAGCUGAACACGAGCUAACUCGUUAAUCGGCUUGUUUGAGCCGAACACAAGCUGACUCAUGAGCUGACCAACGAAUAAUAAAUUAAAAAGAAUUAGAUUAAAUAUAUAUAAAAAAUAAAUUUAUAAAAUUCUAUCUAUUAGACUUUGAUCGCUUUACGUAUAAAUAAAUUUUUUUAUAAUUAAACUCGUAUUUAUAUUUUUAUUUUAUUAAAAAUUAAAUAAUAAAAAUAUAUAUUAUAUAAAAUUAUUUAUUUAUAUAUAAAAAUAUAAAUUAAAUAAAUUAUAUAAAUAUAAAAUAUAUAUAUUCUGGUUGUUAUCGAGCCUAACACGAGCAAGCUGAUCCCAACUCGCGUUCGGCUCGUUUAUUAAACAAGCUAAAAAAUUCAGUUCGUGGUCGACUCGUUUACUAAACGAGUGAUUCGAUCUCGAACUCGUUUCGAGCGAAAUAUGAACUUGCUCGCGAACAGCGAGCUGAAUUGCCACACAUACUCACAGCCGCAAAUAAAUCGAACGGCUACUGGUUUAAUUUAAAUCCCAACCAGCUGUUUUCUUCUCGUCCACAAAUGCUCGCCCUUCGACCUCCCACUCUAAACUAACGCCAUGGCAUUUUCGCGAAAUUACGGUCCGUACCACGUAACCCGUGGAGGAUAAGAAGGGACUUUUUGGUAAUUUCGUGGUUAUGAGGAGCGCGUCAUUUGUAUUUUGAGGAUAAGAAGGGGCUUUUUGGUAAUUUCGUAGUUACGAGGAGCACGUCAUUUGUAUUUUUUUACGGAUAAAGAAAUGGAGAUUAGCUGAGCGCCGCGUGGCAGACGGUUCGGGUGGAGGAGGACGAAGAUUCCGAUCGGUUUUGGACGCACACGCGUGCCACGUGGCAUACCGACACGUGUCCUGCACUUUAUCCCCGGACUACGUGGCGAGGCACCGGCGCGUUUUAUCGCUGUUGUGUGUUCGAGCCUCGUUGUGGAUUGAUCCUGGAGACAGGGGAACGUGAUGCUGUGGUGUAGGUUUGCCACGUGGAGUAAUAUGAUUGGUGGUGACGUCAUCAGGAACUAUUGGCGAUUGGUACGCGAAGGUAUGGCGUGUUGGGUUACAAAGUGGAAAAAUUCUAGGAGGCAACGGGUAUAUUGGUGACGUUGCGUAACAAAAUAAUCAAAUGUCUCCUUUCGGGAAUAUAUGUUCUAUCAUGAUUAUAAAAAUAUAUUUUUAUUAUAUACUUUUAUUUAAAAAGAAGAAAUAUGAUUGACUUGUUAUUGAUGACAUGGUGCAAAUAUGACUGUGUAGAAUUCCUCAAAAGUGGGCCCGGUUAGUACACGUCAGAUCAGAUUAUACUAAAAAGCUAAAUUAUUUGGGUUAAAUUUCACCGUUAGUGCCCCAACUUUAAUCUGUAUUUUAUUUUGGUGCUCGAAACAUUCAAAUUGGAUUAGAUCAUAUUUUAAAUUAGGCCAAAUUGCAUAAAAAAUUCACUAGUUUUGCGCUUUUGCAAAAUUAAACCAUCUUUUUCGAUUUUGCAGAUUCGGACCGAAUUUUUAGUAAACUGAACAAAAUACACUUAUAUAUUUUUCUCUUUUCUUUUUUUUUUCUCACGUUCUUUUUUUUUUCCGCUGAAGAAGGCGACGGAGGCGAAGGCGGAAAUGGCCACCAUCGUCUCUGCACCUCACGCCCUCACCCCUACCCUCGCCAGUGCACCCCUCGCCUUACUCGCUUCCGAUCCAGCCGAAGCCACGCUGCAAUUUUUUUUUUUUUUCCUCUCCAACCCUCCUCCACUGCCUUCGCCUCCCUCCGCAAUAAUAACAAGGACGGUAACGUGUCCUCUUCCUUCGCCUUCGCCCUCCACCUUCAUUGCAGCAAAUUUUUUACCCGCCAAACAAACCCGCCGUCCCCACUACCGCUGUUGCGCGAGGAAGAGAAAGUGCUUCUCGGGGCUGAGAAGCUCGCCGGCCAGGGAAGGGGCACGCGGCCGGCCCACCCACUUAUUCCAGAGGUCGGCGGCGAGCGCGGCCUCGACGGUGUCGGAGGCGAGAAAGGCCAGAAAUGUAUAGAAGAAUUUUUGGAUUAGCACUUUUCUUUGUUUAAAACAAAAAAAAACUAAAAGGCCAAAAAUUAGAGAAUAAUAAAGAAAACCAGAGAAGAAGGAAGUGCAAAAUGAAUUUGCACUGUUAAAAUUCAAUUGUACUAUUUUAAAAGAACGUUGCACUAUUAUGGACGUAAGUUGCAUUCUUUUAAAUCUAAACUGCACCCUUUAAGAUAAAAGUUACACUUUUUAAUCGAAAAUUACACUCUUUGAGAGAUAUUUACACUGUUUCUACGCUUGUUACACUCUUUAAGAGAAGAUAUUUAUAUUUUUUUUUCCUCUUGUUGUACUAUUUCUCAUGUUAAAGAUGCAGUUUACACAUUAACAUAUCAAAGAAGAAAUAAUGCAAUAAAAGAAAAAAUAGUGCAACAAAAAAAAAUAGUGUAAAUAUCUCCUCUUAAAAGUGCAACAAGAGGAGAAACAGUGUAAAUAUUUCUCAAAAAGUGCAACUUUCGUUUAAAGAGUGUAAUUUUCAUCUUAAAGGGCAGUUUACAUUUAAAAAAGUGCAACUUACGUCCAUAAUAGUGCAACGUUCUUUUAACACAGUGCAAUUUAAUUUUAAUAGUACUAAUUCAUUUUCUUCUUCAUUCUUCUCUGGUUUUCUUUAUUAUUCUCUAGUUUUUGGCAUUUUAGUUAUUUUUUUUAUUUUAAACAAACAAAAGUGCUAAUCCAGAGAUACUCCCGUGCAUUGUUCGCCCUUCUAGCCUCCGACACCGUCGAGGCCGCGCUCGUUGCCGCCCUCUGGGGUAGGCGGGUGGGCCGCGUGCCCCUUCCCUCGCCGACGAGCUUCUCGGUCCGAGAAGUGCUUUCUCUUUAUCGUCGACGGCGGUGGCAAGAACGUGAGUUCCCAGAAGUGGGUUUGGUAGGUGUAAAAUCCGCUGCAAUGGAGGUAGAGGGUGAAGGCGGAGGAAGAGGACGCGUUUCCAUUCUCGUUAUCGUCGCAGAGGGCCGCGGAGGCAGUGGAAAAGGGUCAGAAAAAAAGAGGAUCGUAGAGCGAGCUCGGCGGGGUCAGAGACGAGUAGGGCGAGGGGUGCGCGGGCGAGGGUUAGGGGAGAGUGUAAGGAAGUGAAUUCUCGAAAUUCGAGAGUUGAACUUUACUCAGAAUAGACUAAUUGUCGAGUGGGUAUGCUUCGGAAAGGCCGAAGAAGUCAAAAACUCAAAAAGUGCAUUGCAACGGACCUCGAAGAGCAAACUGGUGAAAAUCUGCACUUGGCAGAUUUUUGCUCUCGGGGAUCGGUCUCUGGUAUGAGGGACUGGUUCCCGUAAGCAUUGUGUGCGGCAGAAAAUCUCUGCGCACAAGUAUUGCUCUCGGGAACCGGUCCCUGGCGGGAGAGACCGGUCCCCGUACGCGCAGCUAGCGAAGAGAAGGAAAAUUUGGCUAAGUUCUGAGAGUUCUGCUCUCGGGAAUCGGUCCCUGGCUGGACAGACCGGUCCCCGUACGUGUAGGAAGCUGGGCACAACCCUCUGCCCGCAUGGGAGGCUCUCGGGGACCGGUCCCUUUAGGGACAGACUGGUCCCUGAGCACGAAAUUUGCCCAGUCUGGGCAAUAUGAGAGAAGCAAAGUUGAGGGGCUUGGAUGCAAUUGUUGCAUUAGUGAGGGGUAUAGAGAGGAGAUCACUCUCUCUCCCUCUCAUUUUCUCACCCAACCAAAUAUAUCUGUCUCCCUCUCUCUCUCUAAGCUCUCUCUCCUUCUCUCUUGAAGUGAAGAAGGAAAAGAAGGAGAAGAAGGUGGAGAAGAAGGAGAAGUAAGCUUGGAUAAGGGCUUUGGUCAUCUCCCUUUUCCUCUCCUCACCAUUGGAGCUAGCUUAGAGGUAAGCUUCCAAGCUCAUUAAUGGUAGAAAACUAGGGUUUGAAUUUUUAGCUUUAGAAAUGGUUUAAUUAGGAUUCUAGCAUACUUAAUAGUUGAUUAAUGCUAGAAUCUAGAAUUUUGUUGGAGAAUAUUAUAUAGAUGCAAACCUAGGGCUCCAAAUUGGGGCUUUGCUUAUUAGUGAGGUUUGAUUGCGAUUGAUGGCAUCUAAACCUAAUUGUUAGGUGUCUAAACGCGUUGGCGAAGACGGAUUGAGCAUUCGUCGAGCUGGUGAAAAGUUAUCGGCAAAACAAGACCGAUUGGACUUCGUUUUCACCUAAGAGGUCGACGCGACGUUGAAGCAAGUGCCGAAUAGCGUUCUUAGAGCCUUGACAUCGUGGAAAUGUGGGUGGUGUCAUCCCGAAGCAACUGGGUUCCUCUCCAUAUCUUAGUAUAUCAUGAUCUCGCAUCUCUUGCAUGUUGCAUUGUAGGGUUGCAUUGUUUUCCAUUCCUUAUGCUUUGUAAUUGAUACUAGUGUAGUUACCCCGCGCGAUGCGGCGGAUAAAUAUUGUUGUAGUAAAAUUUUUUCUUCGUCAAGACUUGAAGAUAUAUAAUGAUUAAAAAAAAAAUCUAAAAAUACCUCAUAAGUUUGCGAAAAAAAAAAGCAACACAUCCUAUCAGUGCAUAAAUUCCUAAAUAAAGAGGGCUUAAAGCAAUUUAAUCAGCUUACGUACAAUAGGCAAAAAGGAAGAAGCAUUUGAAACUUAAAACCAACCAAUAUAACUGCAAUGAUACAUAGACAAAUCAAAACGUUCCUACUCAAUAUAUAUAUAUAUAUAUAUAUAUAUAUAUAUAUAUAUAUAUAUAUAUAUAUAUAUAUAUAUAUAUAGCAUGUGGUCUAGGCUCAAUGAUAAAUAAAAAAAUUACCAUUUUACAGCAUAAAAAGUUCAGAUUCAGUAAACUACGGAUGAACAGAAAUAACAGAAACAUAGCCGAAUUAGCAAAGGAAGGUUUUAGCUUUGACCGAUAAAUUGAUUGGUUGAAAAUUUGUUCGAACCGAAGUAAUGAUAGACUAAUACGAUAAUUUGAUAUUAAUUGAAUGUAUAAUCAGCUUAAAAAGUCAGAUUACUAUGACAACUUGAACAAAAUUCAACCUUGACAUCAUCAGAUUGGCACCGACCAAUAAAAAUGCAUUGAUACAUAGAUAAAUCAAAAAGUUCCAAAUGAAGUAUUUUAAAAUGGCAAAGGUAUGACAGCUAAAAAAUGUUAAAGUGCAGAGAUAUAAAAGCAAAUUCUAUUGUAUUAGUAAGAUACACACUUCAAGAAUGUCUGAGAGAUCCAAAAUUGGACUAUUAACAAAACACCUUGAGAGAAUGAGAUCUACAUGAUCAAGUUCCACAGAGAAGCUCUUUUUACAGUUUCAAGUGAGCGGUUUGAAAGCAUUAUGAUUAGCAGCAUUAAGAUGUUAAAAAAAAAGAAAAAUGUUGUGACCUCUUCAACUAUAGGCUAUUUUUAUAAUUGUGAGGAGCAUCAAAAAAGGGAUCUUUUUUCACCUCCAAAACAUUCGGUUUCGUUAUAAAGAGGAACCACGAUCGUGACGACGCAAUCGGCGAGCAUGGUAAUGAUGAACCAGGCGUUCGCAAGCAUGAAGGCAUAUGGGUUAAUCAACAAAUAUUAUAUUAUCAAAGCACUCUAAAUCGAUGUUUAUACUUAGAUGGUGUUUUGAUUUAAUUGUGUGCAGGUUAUAUUGGUCAAGCAUAAUCCGAUUAUUCGAUUAGCAGACUUAGUUAACAAAAGUUAUACAUAAAACCAAAGAGAUAUAUAAUCAUUAAGAUCAACUAAAAUAGUUACCUUUAUUCCAUUAGCAUGCCACCUUCUAAGAGCCUCAGGAACAUCAUCAUAAACAACCCCCUGCAGUUUCUUGUUCUAAAAUCUUGUCCUCUAUAUAUGGCCCUGCAUGUCAGCAUGAAAAUAAGACAUCUCUAACAGCUGUCAGCUAUGUUCUACUGAGACCAAGUUACAUUUGCUACUACCUGCAGUUGUUUAAGUGAUGUGAUUUUUCGAUCUGCUUUGAUCAUGGCUUCGACAUUAGCGACUAAGGAAUUGAUCACUUCCUCUUUUCCAGCAUCAUCGGGUGGAAUUGGAACUGCCCCCGAAACCCCUCGCUUCAAGUCGUCCUCAACCUGUCGAAAAUCAGGCCAUAAACACAAAAAAUGAUGAAAAGUAAGGAGAUUAUUUAUCAAUUUAUGAGCUCCUAUUGAUUCUCCAACAUGGAGUUGAUAUGUCAGAAUCUAAAUACUCAACAGAGAAUUAAGAAUUCGCAGCAUUUGACACAAAAAUCAUAGCUCACAACUUCGAUUCAGAAAAAACAUGAAGCACAAUCAGGUCGUAAACACAAAAAAUGAUGAAAAGUAAGGAGAUUACUUAUCAAUUUAUGCGCUCCAAUCGAUUCUGCAACAUGGACCUGAUAUUAGAAAUAAUACGUAAUUAUAUCAAAAUUGAUGAUGAAACAAAUUCGCAAACUUGCAUAAUUUGGCUAGUUCAAACUAUUGAUGGUCAUUAAAAAAAAUUUAAAAACGAAACUCUUAAGGGUGAUGAGAGAAACUAAAAUGAUAAAUUAUUAAAUAGGGAUAUAUACAAUCCAAGGACAAAAACUUGCUGAAAGUUGCAAAACCAACAGAAGUUGGGUUCAUUGCAAGAAUGUUGAGUAAAGUAACAUGUUUGUAGAGUUAUACAUGACCAAAAUAAAUCAAAUAGGAUUAGUAUUAUUUGUUGCAAAGAUAAUAUAAAAGAAAUUCAAUACAUAUAUACAAUUUAUUUUGCAAACAAAUCAUAUGCGAAAGCAUUGUGAUAUAUAGCAUGCGGUCCAGGGCCAAUGAUAAAUCAAAAAAUUACCACUCCACAGCACUAAAAAAUUCAGAUUUAGCAAACUGUGGAUGAACAUGAAAAAACAAAUAGAAAUAUACAGCUAAUCCGCACGCCUAUAUAGCUUCUUACCAUUAUGCAUCGUGUACAGUUCUUCUCUAGUUAGGAAUUGUAUAGUUGGUCCAAAGUAAUUAUAUGUUAUAAAUAUAUUUUAACUGUUUUGUAAAAAUAAGAGUUUAAAAACCAGUAUAUAGUGCAAAAAUGAAUUAAAAAUUCAAUCACCAUUUGAGCACCUUGCAGGGUGUCCUGACGAAGAAGAGCAUAUUAAAAAACAAAACAAAACAAAACAAAACCUAACCUUUUUAGAAAUUAAAUACACACAAAACUCUGAAAAUUCAUAUAUAUAUUCAACUAUAUGCCAUUUUUAUAAUUGUGAGGAGCAACAAAAAAGGGAUUUUGAUAAAAUUGUUUAAAUUCUACAACCGAAUAGCAAAAGAGGAACAUCAAAAGAGGGAGCUUUUUCCUUUUCUCACCUCGGAACCGCUCGGCCUCUUGAUUGUAAUCGAGAAGCUUCUGCUCGAUUCGCUUCCCGGAGGUGAAAUCGAAGCCCGCGGAGGUGAAAUCGAAGGCCGCGGAGGUCUCGCUACCAAAUCUGAGAUGGAAAAAAUCAGAAAGAGAGAAAUUGGGUUUUUUUUUUUGCAAAUAAAAUUUUUACAGAGGCAUACUAUAUAGGCAACAGUAAGGGACCACGGAGGAUGAAUCCGAGCAAUUUUCGCGACCGAAGGGAAUGAAUAAGCCGAAACGAAGCGCCGCCAACAGGAACGACGCGACCGGAAGAAGGGACGACCAUGAACUCGGCCCAACACUCCAUCCAGAGAGGGAAUAGGAGUCGGAGCGGCAUCUAGGGGGCGAACGAAACGAAGCGUCGCCAAAGGGAACGGACGCGACGCCAAGAAGUCCAGCCAUGAACCCAGCCCAACAAUCCGUCCAGAGAGGGAACAUGAGUCGGAGCGGCACCUAGAGGAGCGAGCGAAGGAGCCGAGGGUGGAAGACGAAGCAAGGAAUAUUAAAUGGGCACUAAUUACAUAAUAGAGUGCCUUAAGAUGACAGGUAGGGUCCACAGAAAAUUAGAUUAAGCUAAUGUUGCCACGUGGACAAAAGGAAACGGGGAUUCAUUAGAGUUUAUAGAUUAUAGUGUGAGUUCAAUGCUUGGUAUUAUGGAUAGAUAAGAAUUGGGUCAUGACAUUGAAUCCUAUAGUGCCGAGGAAAUGAGAUGGACUCGAUGGUUCCUAGUGACAUAAUGAGUGGCAUGUGGUUGACAAAUGAACAGAACGAGUGGCAUGUAACUUAGUGUAAAGUGAUAAAAGAGGUUUGUGAACUUAGGGAUAGAUGGACUCCCUAGUGAUGACUCGUUGAACAAGAAUAUAUGUAGUUAAACACUUACACAUGGACAUUGAGAUAGGUGGAUUCCCGAGUGAUUUCUAGCCCUAAUUGAUAGGGUAUCCUCGAAUUGAGAGGAUGGAUCAAGUUCACAGUCUGUUUAUACUUGUAGUGGUCGCGCCACACAAGUCGUCGUGCACUCCAAACUAUGGUACGAGAGGGGCAGAGUUAAUGUCACGCAGACAGUCCUGGGUUUGAGAGCGAGGUGAGUCUCCUUACCAUACGGGAUGGCGAGGUGAGUCGAGGGUGAACCCAAGGGAUCGCCAAAGAUUGGACAAACAAGAGAAUAUCACUGUUAUUGAACAUUUGCCGAUCGGACAUUGUAGUAGACAUAGUGGCAUGUUAGUAAACCAUUUACUAUAUGAUGCAUGCAUACAUUACACAUGAUUUGGGCAUAGUAGCAUAGUUUUCUUACUAUGUCAUUUACAGUUUUCGUAUCUAUCUAUCUAUCUAUCUGCUUUUGCCCACUCGGACCUAGUGGGGAGAUCGGUGGAGUCUGCGGCCGAACCCACUUGGAACUAUGGACAAUAGUUCUCACCCCACUUUAUUGCAGGGCCUAGUUCGAGCGCGCCGUGCGAGAACCGCGGCAAGGGUAUAGCGCCCGAGCAGUAGUACAUAGUAGCUUUCCUUUUUGCAUUAGCAUUACCCUAUGUAUUGAGAGACUCAUGUAGGUGGGGAUUGGAGAGCUAUUGAUGUAUUUUGGGAUAAUCUAGUAAACCAUGUAUCCAUUUUAGAAAAGAUGUAAAUAUAAAUUGAGGUAAAUGAAUGCAUUGUGAUGUAAUAGCUAGUAGAUCUCUCUUUCGUUCACUUGUAUGCACAUGUGACUCUUGCUCUUAGUUGUUGGCACUUGUGGUGCUCUUCGUUGAUUGUGUAUGUAUAUAAUUUCUAUUCCUGGGCAAAUUCUUGUAUACGAUCUGAUUGUUUAGCCUUGGGCGGACAGAGGAGGUGCUGUCCUUUCGGCGUCUGUUCGACGCCCCCGAACCGGACCAAAUUGGUAGCAGUCUCGGGGCGUGACAGAGGGUGAGGGCGUGAGGUGCAGAGACGAUGGGGGCCGUUUCCGCCUUCGCCUCCGUCGCCUUCUUCGGCGAGAAAAAAAAAAUGAACGGGAGGAAAAAAAAAAAAAAAGAGAGAAAAAUGUAUAAGGUUAUUUUGGUCAGUUUACUAAAAAUCUGGUCCGAAUUUGUAAAAUCAAAAAAGGUGGCCCACUUUUGCAAAAGUGCAAAACUAAUAAAUUUUUUAUACAAAUUGGCCUUUAAAUUAUUAAUAAAAAUUUACUAGUGAAAAUAUAUAAAAUUUGUCUGUAUUAUGAUUUGUUUUGAUCCGACCUGUUUAAUUAUAAGAUUUUUUUUCAGCUUAUUUGAUUCCAAUCAUUUGGUGACUUUAUUAUUACAAAAUUUACACAUGAUGCUUGUUUUGAUGGAACUAUAGCCAUAUAAAUCCCAUCCAUUAAAAAAAUGUAUAUUUAAAUUCGGGCCGGUUAAUUUUUAUUUUAUUUUUUGCCUUCUUUUAUUGCUCCAUUUAUGAAGGGUCGAGAUAAAAGCAAAAUUUUGAUGAAUCGGAUCGAUCAAAUGAAAAAAAUAGUCCCUCCUCUUCCACUCUAUUUUCUUAACAAAUCGUGGAAAAUUCAAGACGGGAUUUUUUGAAAAAAUUUUAGCUUUUGCUUACUGCCAAUUCGAGGCGAAUCAGGAUGAGAGUUCCAUCAGCCCGAAUUCAUUUGCCUCCCUCGCUUUGUUAAUUUGAAUGUCGAAUUCAUUUGCCUCCCUCGCUUUGUUAAUUUGAAUGUAAUUACAAAUGUCGUAGUUGGAAAUAUAUGCGGCUAAAAAUACAGAAAAUACUAUAAAUAAUUUUAUUUUCGUCCUCAAAUUUUGGUUGUAUGUAAUUCUAAAAGAACCAUAAUUGUAAUAUCACUAAGUAGAAUGUUCGAUUUAAUUUAUUUAGAUCCGACUAUGACAAUUGAAACUGUAUACAGAGACUUGAUUACACUAAUUAAAAUUGUGUCAAAAUUGACAGCUAGAUAGAGUAACUUUUCAACAAGACAUAAGCUUAACUAUAUUGGGAGUAAUUUUAUGAUUCUACUUAAAAUCUCUUAACUAUGACUUAAAAAGAGCCUCUCUGGUGCUCUUCUCAAUUCCACUGCUUACCAACAAUUCACAAUGACAAUAUUUACAGUAGACAAAAGGCCAUGUAUUGAUUGCCUCAGACCGCCUGCAUCUCCCGCUCCUUUUGCGAUGCCGAACCGGCCGAAGGCGACAACAUGCCCUUCUCGUUACUCGGCAAGUCGUCCGAAUCCAUCUCUUCGUGAACCAUGCUCCUCAUGAAUGCUGUGAACUGUGGCCAGUGCUCCGGCGAGAAGAACUCCGCGCCCAUCCGGUUGUAGGUGAAAGAUUUCACUUUCGAGUUACCUGCAGAGAUAUUCGCUUUGAUUUGGUCGAAUCCCCCUGCGGGCGCCCUAACCAGCGACGAAUUCUCCCCCAGUACCUUCACCCCGUGCUUCCCGCACGAACCGACUAUCUCAGAGAGUAGAGAUUCCGGGCUACAUUGCAGCUCCCGCGGUUGCUCUCGAUCUAAGAGGUCCAUUCCGGGAAUUACCAUCGCACACGAAUUCCUCGCGAACAUCUUCGCGACCGCAUCGUACCCAUUGCGGCCGUCGGUGUUGUAGAACCCAGCUGUCAGCUCGGCUGGGUGCGACCGGGUGCCACGCCACCAGUGCAGCAGCGGCACUUUGCCAGAUAUUUCUACCGGCAGUUCACCGAAAAUGUUAGAUGCAAUCGAAAGAAUACGAUCCCCGUGGUUCACGAGCUGCUGCGAGUACCAUGAGAGGAAGAAGUUGGCGUAUGGCGUCUCCCACGAGCCGCCGUGGUCUCUGAAGAAGUUGGUGGAAUCCGGUGAUUGGUUGUAUCCGGGUGCGUCGUGGGGGCCCGAGAGGCCCCACAACGGCUGGCCCGAUUGCUCGGCGUGCUGUUUUAGUUGCGCGAGCAUGUACUUGUCGUAGCAUUGGAAUUCACCGACGCCGGUGAACUGGUGGCCUCCGGUCGCUGGCGGGAACGACGGGUACCGGAGCUCGCCGUUGGG
RNAcentral lists this long non-coding RNA (15318 nucleotides) under Ananas comosus (pineapple). Its description in RNAcentral is "long non-coding RNA (ACOM_LNC027179)". Lineage: Eukaryota; Viridiplantae; Streptophyta; Magnoliopsida; Poales; Bromeliaceae. The record is from RNAcentral.